UAGCAGCAUGUAAAUAUUGGAGUUAAGCUCUUGUGAAAGUCCCCAAUAUUAAUUGUGCUGCUGGA
This 65-nucleotide microRNA precursor is filed under the name Scyliorhinus torazame (cloudy catshark). Its description in RNAcentral is "Sto-Mir-15-P2a_pre stem-loop". It matches the Rfam family "mir-16 microRNA precursor family", at positions 10 to 75 of the family's 82-position model. From Rfam's summary of the family: The hairpin precursors (represented here) are predicted based on base pairing and cross-species conservation -- their extents are not known. The record is from RNAcentral. Lineage: Eukaryota; Metazoa; Chordata; Chondrichthyes; Carcharhiniformes; Scyliorhinidae.